AAUAGAUACCCCGGUAGUCCACGCCGUAAACGAUGAGUGCUAAGUGUUAGAGGGUUUCCGCCCUUUAGUGCUGCAGCUAACGCAUUAAGCACUCCGCCUGGGGAGUACGGCCGCAAGGCUGAAACUCAAAGGAAUUGACGGGGGCCCGCACAAGCGGUGGAGCAUGUGGUUUAAUUCGAAGCAACGCGAAGAACCUUACCAGGUCUUGACAUCCUCUGACAACCCUAGAGAUAGGGCUUUCCCCUUCGGGGGACAGAGUGACAGGUGGUGCAUGGUUGUCGUCAGCUCGUGUCGUGAGAUGUUGGGUUAAGUCCCGCAACGAGCGCAACCCUUGAUCUUAGUUGCCAGCAUUCAGUUGGGCACUCUAAGGUGACUGCCGGUGACAAACCGGAGGAAGGUGGGGAUGACGUCAAAUCAUCAUGCCCCUUAUGAACUGGGCUACACACGUGCUACAAUGGAUGGUACAAAGGGCUGCAAACCUGCGAAGGUAAGCGAAUCCCAUAAAGCCAUUCUCAGUUCGGAUUGCAGG
This 529-nucleotide ribosomal RNA is filed under the name uncultured bacterium. Its description in RNAcentral is "bacterial SSU rRNA". It matches the Rfam family "Bacterial small subunit ribosomal RNA", at positions 777 to 1304 of the family's 1533-position model. The record is from RNAcentral.